GGCGAGGGGAGUGAAAAAGAACCUGAAACCGUGUACGUACAAGCAGUGGGAGCCUCUUUAUGGGGUGACUGCGUACCUUUUGUAUAAUGGGUCAGCGACUUAUAUUCUGUAGCAAGGUUAACCGAAUAGGGGAGCCGAAGGGAAACCGAGUCUUAACUGGGCGUUAAGUUGCAGGGUAUAGACCCGAAACCCGGUGAUCUAGCCAUGGGCAGGUUGAAGGUUGGGUAACACUAACUGGAGGACCGAACCGACUAAUGUUGAAAAAUUAGCGGAUGACUUGUGGCUGGGGGUGAAAGGCCAAUCAAACCGGGAGAUAGCUGGUUCUCCCCGAAAGCUAUUUAGGUAGCGCCUCGUGAAUUCAUCUCCGGGGGUAGAGCACUGUUUCGGCAAGGGGGUCAUCCCGACUUACCAACCCGAUGCAAACUGCGAAUACCGGAGAAUGUUAUCACGGGAGACACACGGCGGGUGCUAACGUCCGUCGUGAAGAGGGAAACAACCCAGACCGCCAGCUAAGGUCCCAAAGUCAUGGUUAAGUGGGAAACGAUGUGGGAAGGCCCAGACAGCCAGGAUGUUGGCUUAGAAGCAGCCAUCAUUUAAAGAAAGCGUAAUAGCUCACUGGUCGAGUCGGCCUGCGCGGAAGAUGUAACGGGGCUAAACCAUGCACCGAAGCUGCGGCAGCGACACUAUGUGUUGUUGGGUAGGGGAGCG
RNAcentral lists this ribosomal RNA (708 nucleotides) under Escherichia coli. Its description in RNAcentral is "partial 23S ribosomal RNA". It matches the Rfam family "Bacterial large subunit ribosomal RNA", at positions 528 to 1238 of the family's 2925-position model. The record is from RNAcentral. Lineage: Bacteria; Pseudomonadati; Pseudomonadota; Gammaproteobacteria; Enterobacterales; Enterobacteriaceae.